Molecule: ribosomal RNA, 620 nt
Filed under: Escherichia coli
Lineage: Bacteria; Pseudomonadati; Pseudomonadota; Gammaproteobacteria; Enterobacterales; Enterobacteriaceae
Description: bacterial SSU rRNA
Rfam family: Bacterial small subunit ribosomal RNA
Source: RNAcentral
UUUUAUGAGAGUUUGAUCCUGGCUCAGGACGAACGCUGGCGGCGUGCCUAAUACAUGCAAGUCGAACGCCUUUUCUUUCACCGGAGCUUGCUCCACCGAAAGAAAAGGAGUGGCGAACGGGUGAGUAACACGUGGGUAACCUGCCCAUCAGAAGGGGAUAACACUUGGAAACAGGUGCUAAUACCGUAUAACAAUAGAAACCGCAUGGUUUCUAUUUGAAAGGCGCUUUUGCGUCACUGGUGGAUGGACCCGCGGUGCAUUAGCUAGUUGGUGAGGUAACGGCUCACCAAGGCAACGAUGCAUAGCCGACCUGAGAGGGUGAUCGGCCACAUUGGGACUGAGACACGGCCCAAACUCCUACGGGAGGCAGCAGUAGGGAAUCUUCGGCAAUGGACGAAAGUCUGACCGAGCAACGCCGCGUGAGUGAAGAAGGUUUUCGGAUCGUAAAACUCUGUUGUUAGAGAAGAACAAGGAUGAGAGUAGAAUGUUCAUCCCUUGACGGUAUCUAACCAGAAAGCCACGGCUAACUACGUGCCAGCAGCCGCGGUAAUACGUAGGUGGCAAGCGUUGUCCGGAUUUAUUGGGCGUAAAGCGAGCGCAGGCGGUUUCUUAAGUCUGAU